Molecule: long non-coding RNA, 906 nt
Organism: Crotalus tigris (Tiger rattlesnake)
Lineage: Eukaryota; Metazoa; Chordata; Lepidosauria; Squamata; Viperidae
Exons: 3
Source: RefSeq, a predicted model, not a curated record
CAGCCAUUUCAGAACAUCUGACUUUCUGGAGACAGAGAACAUAAUGCCUGUGACACUGAGUAGAAGGAAAACCGCUCAAUUUUAUACAUCUCAUACAUUUCAAACCCAAGGCGACAGCAAGAGGAAGAGGCACCAGAUCUGGGCUACAAAAACCAGGACGAUGACCAGCAGAUGACAAAAGAGAGACACAAAAGCUACCCAGGUUGGGAAUUUUGCAAACCAGAUCUCGAGGAUUCACUUCAAGAGAGAUUCACACAACGUACAAGGCUUCUAAUCAAUGUGGCAAUUGCUUUGUUCUGCUUGGCCAUAGAAAUCUCUGGGCAUGGUUCUAUGUGCUGCACACGGAGAAGGCAGCUGUUCACAAGUUUCUGAACUCACUUCCAAAGCUGACAGCUCGUGACGAAAAAUGAGAACCAAACUAUGACAUCACUGCAAGCUGUUUUCAACCAAAACAUCAGGAGGAAAAGUCAAUGCAACAAGAGGAAGCAUCUCCAUGUUUCUCAAACAUCCAGUUCUACUUAUUAAAGUCCAUAGUUCAAGAGCCACAAGGCACACAAAAUGGAAAUGAGAGCGCUUGAAGAGGCAAAGAGACAUGGAUUUCAAUGUAGUCCAGUAAACGUUGUGUGUUGAGUGAUCAGAAACGAAGAAGUAUGCCUUCAGGAGUUUGUUUGUAGCUACACAUUAUUCCAAGUGUAUUAUAGCUGAAAUGACAUUUUGUCAAAGUUCAGCAUCUGAAUUUCAAAAUAAAUGUCCAGACAGCAAUAUUGAAAACCUUGGUGAAAGUGAGGCAGGCUGAGGAGAAUCAAUAAAUCCUGAAUACAACAUUUAUUUAAAUGUGCAAAUAUGAUACAACCUUGUGCAAAUAUGUUACAGUUAGUAAAAUAGUUUUAGCUCUUUUUCUUAUCU